UACGUAGGGGGCAAGCGUUGUCCGGAUUUACUGGGCGUAAAGAGCGUGUAGGCGGCCAAGCAGGUCCGUUGUGAAAACUGGAGGCUUAACCUCCAGACGUCGACGGAAACCGCGUGGCUAGAGUCCGGAAGAGGAGAGUGGAAUUCCGGGUGUAGCGGUGGAAUGCGUAGAGAUCCGGAAGAACACCGGUGGCGAAGGCGGCCUGCUGGGCAGUAGCUGACACUGAGGCGCGACAGCGUGGGGAGCAAACAGG
This 253-nucleotide ribosomal RNA is filed under the name uncultured bacterium. Its description in RNAcentral is "partial 16S ribosomal RNA". It matches the Rfam family "Bacterial small subunit ribosomal RNA", at positions 524 to 776 of the family's 1533-position model. The record is from RNAcentral.